GCAGUCGCCACGGUAAUACGAAGGGGGCUAGCGUUGUUCGGAUUUACUGGGCGUAAAGCGCACGUAGGCGGAAAUUUAAGUCAGGGGUGAAAUCCCGAGGCUCAACCUCGGAACUGCCUUUGAUACUGGGUUUCUUGAGUCCGGAAGAGGUGAGUGGAACUGCGAGUGUAGAGGUGAAAUUCGUAGAUAUUCGCAAGAACACCAGUGGCGAAGGCGGCUCACUGGUCCGGAACUGACGCUGAGGUGCGAAAGCGUGGGGAGCAAACAGGAUUAGAUACCCCUGUAGUCCCUGUCUCUUAUAC
RNAcentral lists this ribosomal RNA (302 nucleotides) under uncultured bacterium. RNAcentral's name for it is "partial 16S ribosomal RNA". It matches the Rfam family "Bacterial small subunit ribosomal RNA", at positions 508 to 807 of the family's 1533-position model. The record is from RNAcentral.